UCGAACCAUGCCCCCAUCUAUUUUUUUGGCCCGGCUUUAGCGACACACGUGUCGUUUGCCCCACUCCCACAUUUUUUUCCAUGACGUGUUCUGUUCCUGUAAAACCUUCUGCCACACAUCAAAAUCCACCGCCCCUUCUCACUUCUCCUUUUUCUUCUGAUUUUCCACAGACAAUGACACUUGAUCUUUGACCGGUGGUUUUGUUAUGAUGCUCGCAGCAACAUAAAUGAUGGUUUCGCAGCGGCGAUGACAACGACGGGAAGCAUCGAUGGCGGUUUUGGGGCACCGUCUACGGCGGCGGCGCAAAGGUGCAACUUUUGCAGAUGACUUUUUUUGUAUAAAGUGAUAUAUCGAUGUAGAUGGUUGUUGCAGGUCUAGAAAGGCAUCGUGAUUAUGUUAUAUUGUGAAAAACCUAGGGUUACAUUAUCAUUUUGAGCUGCAUAAAGGUUUUGGGUGAUAUUUAUUCUAUUUCCUCGAUGUGAAUUGAAGUUAUAAUUUCAUUAAGGAUUUGGAGAGUCAGCCGGCGCCUCGGGUGAUAGCAGCUUUCAAUAGUGAUUCCGGUAACGAUAGAAUUUCUACAGAAAGGGUGUGGGUUCGAGUCCUCUUUUGGCUUUUUUUAUCCCGUAUUUAUUUGUGCGACACGUGUUACGAUGAGAGAGAGAGAGGGCGGCACCGGCCGUUUUCCGGCAUCCGGUAGCCCAGGCGCCACCUCCGGCGAUGGCGGUUAGGGUUCCUUCAAAGUUUCGGUGAACCCUUUUCACUUUGGUUCAUCUGAGGAGUCACCAACGGUUAAGUAUUUAAUUCCAAUAUUUGUACUCUCUCUAUUGGACUUUUGUAGCUUUGUUUUUUUUUUUUCUUUGAUUACAGGUGAGAGUGGAAUCGAGAUGAUUAACAGGUUCGACGCGUCCAAGUUUCCGACCCGGUUUGGUGGGCAGAUACGUGGGUUUAAGGCUAAUGGGUGUAUUGAUGCUAAGAAUGACUGGAGACGUGAUGAUUGUUUGAGAUAUUGCAUUGUUGCUGGUAAAAAAGCCCUUGAAGAUGCUGAUCUUGCUGCUGAUAAACACUCCAAGGGCCUCAUCAAACUAGAUCCAGUAGAGGUUAAGAUGGAGUAUAUAAACUUCAAGAAGUUUGAUUUUGUUGAGGGCUAUUCAAAUCAUCCCUAUUUAAAAUCGAAAUCAUCAUGGUGCCACCAAAAAACUUGGCUAAAGAAAUUCAGAGGAAUGGAGGAUUCUUGCGAGGGAAGAUGAUGUAGUGGUGUGGCCAAACUCCAGUAGCGGCGCAACAUGAACAGGCCAUACCAAGGGUUCCCGGGUUAUCUGGCUGACUUCUGGUCAACUCAACACAUUUCAUUCGAAACUAUUAUUACCGGCCUGCUUACUGCUCUGCUUAAUUAAGCACCACGGUUCGGAUUUUGGCAGCUCCAGUGGGCAUCGAAUACCUAAUGUGUUCAGGCCUUCAUCAAAGCUCAAAGCUGGUCAACGUGACUAUUUGGAAGUCGGUGAGUAUUUGGGAAGGUAGUUUUAUACUUAGGCAUCUUAUAUUUUGCUAUAGGCUAUGAAAACGAUCAAGAUAAAGAUGGCAAAAAGAGAAGAGACACAUCCAAGUUCUAUGAUGAAGAUUGUGUAGAGUCGCCACUUGGUUAACGUAUUGAUUGAUGUAGCAGAGUUUCUUUUAAUUGUUCUUAAUAGGUAAAUUAAGUAGGAUUUCGUUUAAUUGUUCUUAAAAGGUAAAUUAAGAUGCCUCACGUUGGGUUCGUUGGAUUUCCU
Molecule: long non-coding RNA, 1766 nt
Organism: Helianthus annuus (common sunflower)
Lineage: Eukaryota; Viridiplantae; Streptophyta; Magnoliopsida; Asterales; Asteraceae
Exons: 5
Source: RefSeq, a predicted model, not a curated record